Nyctereutes procyonoides (raccoon dog) is the source of this 769-nucleotide long non-coding RNA. RefSeq lists it as uncharacterized. The record is from RefSeq and is a predicted model, not a curated record. The transcript is spliced from 3 exons. NCBI's taxonomy places the organism in Eukaryota, Metazoa, Chordata, Mammalia, Carnivora, Canidae.
GCCGCAGCGGCCGCGCCCGCUGUGUGUGAACGUGAAGCUCCUGGGCGCCCGAUUUUAUUUGUUCAUGAGAGACAGAGAGGCAGAGACACAGGCAGAGGGAGAAGAAGGCUCCCUGCAGGGAAAUGUGGGACUGGAUUGCGGAACUCCGGGAUCACGCCCUGAGCCCUGAGCGGAAGGCAGACGCUCAACGGCUGAGCCGCCCCGGGAUCCCAAAUCUAGUGAUGCGAUACUGUGCAUCUCGUCCCAACUCUGCAUUCAGGGAUGUCACAUUGGUUGCUUGAAACUACCUAUGGUGGAGGGGAAGCACCCAGAGGUUCAGAUGAAGCUAUUGUUCUGGCAUUCUAAAACUGCUGACAUUCUUUUCUGUGAAAAUAAUUGAAUCACCAAAUAUGAUGAAAGGUCCCUGAAAUAUCAAGAAACAGAUUUUCUGUGAAGUCGAUGAAUACAACUAUUAAUUAAAUGAAUUUUAAAGUCAAAGGAAAAUAUCUUGUAUUUUUUCAGCUUAGCUGUUUCUUCUCUGAGAAGUAUUUUAAACAUAAGUUACUGCAUUUUGACAAAGAUAUGAUACAUAGGGACCUUUUUGUGAAAGAACACAUUGAGAUGUGAAAAUAUAGAUAGUAUAAGCUUGCCUUGAAUGUCUUCUGAAAGAUUUUACUUCAUGAAUAUACACUAGAAAGGUCUCAUUCCAUUUUACAGUAUAUUUUUUGGUGAUGCUCCUCUCGUUAAGCUUUAAGGUACUACAGUAAUAAUAAAAUGCUAUAUUAUUUUA